This 294-nucleotide ribosomal RNA is filed under the name uncultured bacterium. Its description in RNAcentral is "partial 16S ribosomal RNA". It matches the Rfam family "Bacterial small subunit ribosomal RNA", at positions 335 to 615 of the family's 1533-position model. The record is from RNAcentral.
ACUCCUACGGGAGGCAGCAGUGGGGAAUAUUGCACAAUGGGGGAAACCCUGAUGCAGCCAUGCCGCGUGUGUGAAGAAGGCCUUCGGGUUGUAAAGCACUUUCAGUUAGGGAGGAAGGUAGUGUAGUUAACACCUGGCAUCUUAUUGACUGUACCAUACAAGAAGAAGCACCGGGCUAACUCCGUGCCAGCAGCCGCGGUAAUACGGAGGGUGCGAGCGUUAAUCGGAAUUACUGGGCGUAAAGCGCAUGCAGGCGGUCUGUUAAGUCAGAUGUGAAAGCCCGGGGCUUAACCU